RNAcentral lists this ribosomal RNA (461 nucleotides) under uncultured bacterium. RNAcentral describes it as "bacterial SSU rRNA". It matches the Rfam family "Bacterial small subunit ribosomal RNA", at positions 30 to 507 of the family's 1533-position model. The record is from RNAcentral.
AUUGAACGCUGGCGGCAUGCCUUACACAUGCAAGUCGAACGGCAGCAUGGGUGCUUGCACCUGAUGGCGAGUGGCGAACGGGUGAGUAAUGCAUCGGAACGUACCCGGAAGUGGGGGAUAACGUAGCGAAAGUUACGCUAAUACCGCAUAUUCUGUGAGCAGGAAAGCGGGGGAUCGCAAGACCUCGCGCUUCCGGAGCGGCCGAUGUCGGAUUAGCUAGUUGGCGGGGUAAAGGCCCACCAAGGCAACGAUCCGUAGCGGGUCUGAGAGGAUGAUCCGCCACACUGGGACUGAGACACGACCCAGACUCCUACGGGAGGCAGCAGUGGGGAAUAUUGGACAAUGGGCGAAAGCCUGAUCCAGCAAUGCCGCGUGAGUGAAGAAGGCCUUCGGGUUGUAAAGCUCUUUUACCCGGGAAGAUAAUGACUGUACCGGGAGAAUAAGCACCGGCUAACUACGUG